Molecule: unclassified non-coding RNA, 325 nt
Filed under: Hevea brasiliensis (rubber tree)
Lineage: Eukaryota; Viridiplantae; Streptophyta; Magnoliopsida; Malpighiales; Euphorbiaceae
Source: RNAcentral
GAAGAAGAAGAAGAAGAAGAGAAAAAUGUAAGAGAGAGAAAGAGGGAGGUGUAGAUCUGGUUUUUGAAAUUGCGCGAGAGAGAGAGAGGAGUUAAAUGGAGGGCUAAUUUUGGGGGCUAGUGGGAGAAGGGGGGCGGGGGAGGGGGGGGCGCGCGCGGCGAUGAUUGCGUUGGGGAAGAUGGAGGGAUUUUGGAAAGAUGGAAUUUGGACCGUUGGAUUAGAAAAAGGAAGAAAUCGGGUAGGGGGGCUGUUUAGCUGGCCGGUAAAAGGCAGGCUAGCAUGCACAGGGGGUUUGAUACUUUGAUCGAGCUAAAGAGCGAAAAAG